Molecule: long non-coding RNA, 2081 nt
Organism: Solea solea (common sole)
Lineage: Eukaryota; Metazoa; Chordata; Actinopteri; Pleuronectiformes; Soleidae
Exons: 3
Source: RefSeq, a predicted model, not a curated record
ACAGGCGGCUUUGAAUUAUUCAUUCAGACUUGUAUCUAAUUAUUUAUUAAUUUUUUUAAGUAUUUGUUCUCACGCCAGUUGACCCGUUUGUUUACUGUUAACUACAAGAAACACAGGACACAUAAUACAUACAAAUAGCAGAGGUGUGGACUCGAGUCUGACUUAAGUCACACAUUUGUGACUUGAGACUUACUUUAUUUACGCUGGUUAACUUAGAAUUGACACUCAUGACUUCAGACUCGACUUAGACUUGAGUAAAAAUGACUUUUUGUGUAACGGAAUAUUUCCACUUUUUUCUAUUUAAAAAAAAAAAAAAACACUAGGUGCCUGCUUUUUGGAGGGCCUUGCGUACAAACCUGGCAACCGAGCGACACCACCAACACCUACGUGAAAUUUCAUUCGAGACUUCAAAUCCCGCAGAGAAAGGUCACAGGGGAGCGCUGGUGCCAAUCCCAGUUGACAUAGAGCGAAUGGCGGAGUACACCAGGUCGCCAGUCCAUCACAGGGCCGCAUAGAGAUAAACAACCAUCUACAGGAGGAAAACAGUUAUCGCGGCUUCCCGUGAUGCAGCAGCCAUUCAAAUUGGAUGAGAGCAUCUGCUGCUUCAUUAAGAAAUUGAGCCAGAGGACGUUCAUUCUGUGAGAGCGGGGGGAGCGACAGACUUUACCUCGCAGAAUUCUCCUUCCGAACAAAGACACUCAAUGGUAAUCUUUUUUUUUUUUUUUUUUUUUUAAACUGUGUCCUUAAGGCCUAACAAACAUAUAAUAUUGUUUUAUCUCAUCAUUUUAUAGUGGUUACAUCCGCUUAUUUCUAUUCACUGGAGGACUGUGUCCAUGCAUGACCAUAUGUGCUGGUAAAACAUACGUAUAAAGUAAUGUUAAUAGACUCGCUCCAACAAUGCUGUUAUGUAAAAAUCUGCCUAAAUCUACAUUUUUCAAGGACGACAUGUUAUCUGUUCUGACAUCGUUGUAAAGGCCUGUCAGCUCACGCCACUAAAGAAAUGCAUGACGUGACGAGGUGGAGGAAAAGGCCGACUCACCUUGUCCAAACUAACCAUCUGUUCAAAGCACCUUGUUUUGAGAGGCAGAGCUGAUUCAUCAUUGGCUGCAAACUGAACCAACUCAUUACUGUAAACUUUUUAAUUUGGGUAAUGUUUAAGUUUAAGAUGGGUACAUAAAAGGUGCAGCUACAAUAUUGAUCCACACUAGAAGCCAAAACCACAACCAGAGCAUAUUAGUCCACUUAGCUGUACCUACACUGGCUCCCUGUAACAUUGAUCGUCUGUUGCUGGUUUAUUGGAGGUUCCCCACAAAAAGUCGAAAAAGAAACUUUGUUACUUACGCCCCUAAAUUUUGGGACACACUACCCUUAGAUAUUAGGGAAGCCAGCUCACUAGAUAUCUUUACACUAGCCUUCAACUAGCUCCUUUUUAUUCCACCCUGUGUUGUGUUUUAUUUGCAUUUUUUUGUAUAUUUUAAAGUCAAAAUGGGGUUUUGACCUAUAGCCUUUUCCUAUUUUAUUCCACCCUGUGUUGUAUUUUACUGUUUUACAGUUAACGCUUAGAACACAGGGUAUUUCAGCUGUUUUUUUUUCCAUUCCUAUGUUUAAACGUACAUUAUAUACAGAGUGUAUAAGAAUGUACAAUAUAGAGUGUCUUAUUUCCUUUUUUUCAGCACAACUUAGGCAAUCUGAUGAAACAAAUAAAUCAUUUAUACCAUCUAUAUAAACACACCUGAGCAAAAAAUACUCAAAAUGUUUAAAAUCCGAUUGAAUUUGUGAAAUUUGGGUCUAUUUUGUGACUUCUGCAUGACUAUUGUUUCUUUAUAUCACUACUAAAAAUGUGAUAUAAAAUGAAUCAUAACUUUAACUCAACAACACAUAAGAAGACAGGAUGUCCAUAUAAGGAGUAUUAUUAUCAUUGGCGCACCUGCGGCACAAAUCCGUGCCACAUGAGCACAGGGUUAAAACAGGGUUUUUUCCUCUUUGACUUUAGACUUUUUCCUUUUCAUUCCACCCUGUGUUGUGUUUUAUUGUUGUAUUUACUUUUAAAAUGUUAUUUUCCUUUUAUUGUGAAGCACUUU